GCUGCUGGCUGCAAGCCAGGGUGCGCAGCCCCUGGCUGUGUGCAAUAGCAGAUGCCUGUGGCGCAUACGUGUAGAUUGAGCUAUUUCUGCACGUCCUCGCAAGCCCCCCUCCCCAAAGAGAAGACACUUUGAACGCCCCAAAUGUGAUAAUCAGCCAUCAAAACUGAAUCAGGGUUAAAAAUCCGCACAACUCCAGAAACUUCCCAAGCCUAGCCUUCGGGCCGAGUGAGGAGCGUCACUACUGCGUAACUCUGGGUCUCCUGGAGGUUCCUCCAGCCAGUGUCCGUUUGUGGCUAGACCUUCGAUACCACUAGGGACCCUGGGCCAAGUGUGGUCUCCAGAGGCAACUUGUCACGCACGUCACUUUCUGUGCGGGAGGGGGAGGAUUUGCUGAGAACUGAGUUUCGAUUCUGGAAACCUCGAGAAGUGCUGGGGAAGUCGGGUGCCAGCCAGCCUUAGUGCGCAGCUAGCUGCUGCGCGCGAGCGGGGCGGGCCCGCGUCACCCACCCCACUGCUCCGCGGGCGCGCGUGGCCAACCGGCGGGGUCGCGGAGCGCAACCCCAGCAGUGCACGAAAGCGGCCGCCAGGGUGGCGAUCCUUCGGGGCGCAGACCUAGGAGGGGAAGCGCGUUCCUCUCAGCCUCUAAAGUUCUCAGUUCUAAAGUGAAUCAAAAUGUCAGCGAUCUAGGACGUGUCCAACCAUGAACGCUGCCUAGCAACACAUUUCAUAUAUAUGAAAGUGUGUGCGUACGUGUGUGUGACAAUACCACUGUGCAGCUCAGACUAAUCUGAAAUUCAACAUCCUCCUGAGUGAUAUGGUUACAUCUGUGAGCCACUACUUCCAACCUGAGCUCUCUCCACAUACCUCACAGCCUCCAAGUCAAGACGAAGGUAUUCCGUGCCAUAGAGACUUGGAAACAAAGGGAUUAAGAGGCACCAACCAUGUCACUUUCCUUGUGAAGACAAGCAUCCAUGAACCUAGAUUUGGCAGUGACAGCAGAUUAAAGAAGUGAUUCUACCCAAGUCUACCUUAGUAAGCCAGUGAGUGUACUGGAGUUACUUGGAAGAAUGUGGGUGAGAUGUCACUCACAGGAGGAGCUUGGAUAACUCAAAGGCAGCAGUGUCGUUGAAAACCCCAACAAGCAUGGAACUCAUGGAAGCUUCAUCCGUGGAUCACACUCUUCCCAGGGAGAUGUGGACAAGCAUCUACUCAGCCCAGAUAGGGAAAUGAUGGAAGACUGAAGUACCGACACCACCCAGUUCAACCUGGUGAACCAGUGAGUUUUACUAGGGGAGUUGCUUGCAGGAAUAUGGGCGAGGAGCUAUUUACAGGAGCAGAAUGAGUUAAAGACCUCCGUGUCAUCAAAAGCCCACCCCAGCAUGGAUGACAGUUUUCCAGAAAAGAAAAGAAAAAAAAACCAAAAAAACAGAAACGUGGAAUGUAUUGCACAGCCUACAGGCAGCUUAGCAGGCUGGACAGUGUCUUUGCAGGCAGCUUAGGUUGAUCUGAGCCUCUUCUAGGAGGCUUGCCUGAUCACUGUUUCAAGGCACUUCAGCUGAAUGGAGCCUCUUCUACAAAGCUCCACUUGUCAGAGAGUCACUUUCAGCUGUCUGUUCUGCUUAUAUACUUUGGGGUGAUGGGGGGUUGGUGGCUAUUGAAUCGUGUCUAGUGGCAAAACCCAGAGAAGUGGUUACGCAACAAACACAGCAUACAAGCUCAGUUCUCUUUUGCUCCCUCCUUCAGCCCGCCCCACAGCGAGGUGAUGAAAUAACAUUGAUGGGGUUAAGAAAUCUUGUUAGGCUGUUCAAUAAUCUGCUUAUGUUACUAUAUUAUUAUUUGGCUCCAAACAGCCACUGACUAGCUGUGUGAUGUGGGUCAAAUAAACUAGUUUUCCAAGCAUGACAAUCAUCCACAAAAUGGAAAAGUAAAAUUGCGUUUGUAGAGUUAUGUAAAAGAGUAAUUUGAUCACACACAUGCUUGCACACAUACACAUACAAACAUAUAUAAGGUACUGUGGGUGAUGAAGAUAUCGCAGCGGACAUUAUUGACUGUGUUUCAAGUGAUUAUGGCAGGAAAGAAAGAAGAAGGGAAAUGUGAAUGAUCCAGGCACACCAAACAUGUCCUGGGGUGCUGAGCUCCAUAAAUGCUAAAAGGGAAGCUGCUGGGUUUAGUCUCACGUGGCUCAGAGGCCCCUGGAAGCACUGCAGUCAAAGUAGUCCAUAGACGGACUGUGUUAGUAGACAUGAGACUUUCAGGAGGAAGCAAGAAUUCCUGCACGGCUCAGGUUUUCUCCAGACGGCUCGACCUCUGACGUUUCAUGACAUUUGGAGUGUGCUUGCCUCAGACUGCUUGAUAUUUGAGAAAGAACAUCAAGUCACACUUGAUAACAGGCAUAAGAAGCUUACAGGGCACCCAACAGGUAGUUGGAGCUCUAUAAUGAGUUGUCAAAAUGCUGCUAAGGUUACAUAUCCUGAGGCCUUGGACACCGAUGCCAGGACCAACAGUGUGUUCUGUGUACCCCGAGACACCAGGCAAUGUGGCAUGCCAGAGUAUUUGUUUUUUUAAACCAGGACUUGUCUCUGAAACUAGACCACUCUAGGCUCCAGAGCUUAGCUCUAAGUGCAAACGGCCGGACAAGAGUGAGGGUAUUCUAAAAAUAAGACCGGCAAACUUAAAAUGCUGGACUCCCAAAGAAUAGGACUUUCCCCAGGAAUCUCAAUAUGGGAGAAGAAAAAGGUACCAGCUAAAAGAGGAACUUGUCUCAGGAAAGGAGAUUUCACACAGAUCUAACAUGCCAGGCUACCUUACAGGAUGAGGCCGAAGCCCAGAAAACAAUGGGUCAAGGCUGGAUGACAUCACACCUUGUCUGGGACUGUUUAAAUGUGUGUAUCCUUGGCCUGCUAUUUAUUUUAUAUAUAUAAUUUUACAAUACCAUUCAGUUCUACAUAUCAGCCAUGGGUUCCCCUA
Peromyscus leucopus (white-footed mouse) is the source of this 2967-nucleotide long non-coding RNA. RefSeq lists it as uncharacterized. The record is from RefSeq and is a predicted model, not a curated record. Lineage: Eukaryota; Metazoa; Chordata; Mammalia; Rodentia; Cricetidae. The transcript is spliced from 3 exons.